CGCCUCUUGUCUAAUAAUAAGAGGUCCAGCCUGCCCAGUGACUUGUUUAACGGCCGCGGUAUCCUAACCGUGCGAAGGUAGCGUAAUCACUUGUUUUUUAAAUAAAGACCUGUAUGAAAGGCACCACGAGAGCCAAACUGUCUCCUUUUUCCUAUCAGUGAAACUAAUCUUCCCGUGAAGAAGCGGGAAUCCCCAAAUAAGACGAAAAGACCCUAUGGAGCUUUAAACUUCACAACACAUUUCCCAAUCCCUCAAUCUUCCAGAAUCCUUUCUUAUUAGACACACUGUUUGUGAGCUUUCGGUUGGGGCGACCACGGAGAACAACCUAUCCUCCGUAAUGAACAACUUAACAAAAAGCCACAGCUUUAUUCAUCAGUAAAACUGACAUUUAUUGACCCAAAUUUUUGAUCAACGAACCAAGUUACCCUAGGGAUAACAGCGCCAUCCACUUUAAGAGCCCCUAUCGACAAGUGGGCUUACGACCUCGAUGUUGGAUCAGGGUAUCCUAGUGGUGCAGCCGCUACUAACGGUUCGUUUGUUCAACGAUUAAAACCCU
Molecule: ribosomal RNA, 556 nt
Filed under: Oreobates saxatilis (Tarapoto big-headed frog)
Lineage: Eukaryota; Metazoa; Chordata; Amphibia; Anura; Strabomantidae
Description: partial 16S ribosomal RNA
Rfam family: Bacterial large subunit ribosomal RNA
Source: RNAcentral